This 164-nucleotide non-coding RNA is filed under the name Clostridiales bacterium S5-A14a. RNAcentral describes it as "raiA RNA". It matches the Rfam family "raiA RNA". The record is from Rfam by way of RNAcentral. Lineage: Bacteria; Bacillati; Bacillota; Clostridia; Peptostreptococcales; Anaerovoracaceae.
UUCUUGUAGUUCUGUGGUUGAAAAUCCAGGCCAGUUGCGGGCAAAGGGAUCCACGUAAGUUGUCGCAGGAGGCGGCAGUGAUCAUGGCGCAGCUUAGAAGUAAGUCCUCGGGGAAACCCCGGUCAAGGCGAGUGUGGGGGCAAAGACCAGGUCAGAUACAAGAA